RNAcentral lists this long non-coding RNA (1207 nucleotides) under Equus caballus (horse). RNAcentral's name for it is "lncRNA (ENSECAG00000048432.1)". Lineage: Eukaryota; Metazoa; Chordata; Mammalia; Perissodactyla; Equidae. The record is from RNAcentral.
UUCGUUUUAAGGGGGCGCCGACUACUCAGCUCCUCAGACCCAGGAACACAUGAGCAAAGCUCACCGGGCCCGCUCGGGUUUCUCUCUGGAUCAGAAUGCAGAAGUAACUGCCAGCUUCGCAGGGCUGACUGUGGACAAGAUGGCAGUUAAGAUGGGAGGACCGGAAGUUGGGAACGGCCCUGAUCCUGGACCACACCACGACAUUGCAGGCACACCCCUGCGGCCUGUCCCUGUCCACACCAGCCACUGGUCACCAGUGCUGGCUGCACUCAGCCAUAGCCACUGACCGUGCUCUCUGACCUGCCCUUCGCCUGCUGACCCAUCCCCUGAAAGGCACCUCUGAUGAUGCAAGCGAGGGAGCAGAAACCAAGGCUCUGGCUACAGCAACAUUGGCUGGGAUUGUGCUGAAUCUGCAGAUCACUUUGGAGAGAAUUGAUACCUUGAAAACAGUGGGUUUUCCCGUUCAUGAACACAGUACAGCUCUCCAUCUAUGGUUUCUUCCACCACACCAGGGAGGCAGGAAGGAAAGCGAGGCUGAUGAAUGAGAACACGGGGCUGGACGAGGACCAGAGUCUGGACACCAGCCCCAGCCCCGGAGCAGCAGCCCCUGCUGACCCUGCUCCAGGUGGAGGCGAUGGGAAGAGAGGAAGCACCCGGGCCACAAGUCUUACGCUGGGCGCGGGAUAAAGCCGAGGUCCUCAUCCACAGGGCCGUGGCUGGUCAGGGAAAUGGACGUGUCCAUCAAAACCUAUAAAACGAUGAAGCAGGACAAAGAAGUGGUGCUGGCUCCAGGAGCUGCAGGUGGAUGUGGCCGUCUGGGAUGUCACUAACCCUGACCGCUCCAUGUGUGCCAGUGUCCACGCUCAUCCACACAUCGUGCCACUCCAGCCUCACAGCAACCAGAGAGCAGGAGUCGUUUCUGUUCCACAGAUGAGCAAGCAGAGGCCCAGGUGGGACAAGGACUUUGCCCCAAGACCACAGGGGUUGGACUCAGCUCUACCAUUCCCUGGGAGACCCCUCCGCACCCUGCCUGGGCAGACUUCCUCUGGGACUGAUUCUAAAACUGGCCCUGGGCCCUGUCCAUCCAGGGAGCUGGCAGCCUCCUCUUCCCACACAGCUUUUCCAGCCUCUUGGUUACAAUCCCGUUAUUUGCCACCACAUGUCCCUCUUCUUUUCCUUUCGAAGAUGACUCAUAAGAUGAAACGAG